AAAUUGAAGAGUUUGAUCAUGGCUCAGAUUGAACGCUGGCGGCAGGCCUAACACAUGCAAGUCGAACGGUAACAGGAAGCAGCUUGCUGCUUCGCUGACGAGUGGCGGACGGGUGAGUAAUGUCUGGGAAACUGCCUGAUGGAGGGGGAUAACUACUGGAAACGGUGGCUAAUACCGCAUAACGUCGCAAGACCAAAGAGGGGGACCUUCGGGCCUCUUGCCAUCAGAUGUGCCCAGAUGGGAUUAGCUUGUUGGUGAGGUAACGGCUCACCAAGGCAACGAUCCCUAGCUGGUCUGAGAGGAUGACCAGCCACACUGGAACUGAGACACGGUCCAGACUCCUACGGGAGGCAGCAGUGGGGAAUAUUGCACAAUGGGCGCAAGCCUGAUGCAGCCAUGCCGCGUGUAUGAAGAAGGCCUUCGGGUUGUAAAGUACUUUCAGCGGGGAGGAAGGUGUUGUGGUUAAUAACC
This 471-nucleotide ribosomal RNA is filed under the name Salmonella enterica subsp. enterica serovar Infantis. Its description in RNAcentral is "partial 16S ribosomal RNA". It matches the Rfam family "Bacterial small subunit ribosomal RNA", at positions 1 to 468 of the family's 1533-position model. The record is from RNAcentral. RNAcentral also lists the same sequence under 9 other names. Lineage: Bacteria; Pseudomonadati; Pseudomonadota; Gammaproteobacteria; Enterobacterales; Enterobacteriaceae.